UGCAUGAGGAGCAUUUCGACAACCGUACACGUGCUCAAAUGGAGCUUUGUUCUGUGGUUAUCUGAUGUGGAGCUGCUCUGACGUUGGUUCCAUUGGCCGCAGGUCGGUAAUGUCAACAGUAGCCCGCGGGGUAUCAUCGGAGGUCCCUCGGACAAUAGCAUCCAUUCAAGGAGAGACACAAAAAGUGUUUAAGAGGAGAUGCAGCGAGCGAAGAGAUGCGGGCAGUCCCCUCCAUAUGUGAAACAAGGUGGUCCAAGCGAACGGACAAAAGACCAGGUGACAGGGACGAUCCGCCACUGGGAGCCGGG
Clupea harengus (Atlantic herring) is the source of this 308-nucleotide long non-coding RNA. NCBI's taxonomy places the organism in Eukaryota, Metazoa, Chordata, Actinopteri, Clupeiformes, Clupeidae. The record is from Ensembl.